CUGCUCCAUGGAAAAGAGAGCUCAUGUGUUCCACAUGCUUUGAAAAGAAACAAAACAAUAAAAGCAUAACUUGGAAUAAUUCAUAUGCUCUCCCUUCCCACCCAAAUCCUACAUGGGCAUGUGUGGAGGAUCUCGGAAACUUUCUUCCCCCCUCGACUCUGUGCCUUGGGUUUACAAGCCAUCCAAGGGUGCAACGGGUUUUACGUUGUCAAGUGUUGUGUAUGUGGGCUUUAGGGGAGAGAAGCACCAUUUUUAUUGUGUUUGCUAUGAAAAUAGCUGUUGAAAUAGCACGCCAACGUGUUUAUGAAUGGAGUUUCCUUUUGAGAUCCAGUCUUUUUUCUCCGCGGUAGAGUUGCCCAGGUCCCUCAGCCUUGCAAGGAGUCCCUAACAGAGAGACGUCUCAUAAUUCCAUGUCGUUAUGUAUCUAUUGGUUUCAUUCGUGGACGUCUUCUCAUAGACAGUGAAGCCCUACUGUUUAAAGCAAUUCACAAUCUGAUGGAGAAUAUGAGUGAGACAGUCCCUGAUACAGCAGAAGACCACCUACUGAAUGCAGGCAUAGUCGAGGGGGUUUUAUUUAUUUUAUUUAUUUUUAAAACUUUCUAUUGGAGUAGAGUUAUCUUACAAUGUUGUGUUAGUUUCGGGUGUACAGCAAAGUGGUGCAAUUAUAUAUGCAUAUAUCCAUUCUUUGCUCAGGUUCUUUUCCCAUAUAGGUGAUUACAGAAUAUUUUGUAUGUUUCCCUAUGCUGGACAGUAGGUCCUUCUUGUUUAUCUAUUUUAUAUACAGUAGUGUGCAUAUGCUAACCCUAACCUACUAUUUUAUCUCUCGCCUCCACGUUUCCCAUUUAGUAACCCUAAGUUUGAUUUCAAAAUCUGUGCAUCUGUCUUUGUUUUCUAAAUAACUUCUUUUGUAUCAUUUUUAUCAGAUUCCACCUGUAAGUGAUUUUUCAUGACACUUGUCUUUGGCUUACUUCUCUCAGUAUGAGAAUCUCUAGUUGCAUUCAUGUUGCUGCAGAUGGCAUUAUUUCGUUCUUUUUUAUGGCUGAGGCAUAGGUCACAAGUGUGGCUUGGAUCUGGUGCUGCCGUGGCUGUGGUGUAGGCUACAGCUCUGAAUUGACCCCUAGCCUGGGAACUUCCAUAUGCCAUGGGUGUGGCUCUAAAAAGAUUCAGAAACAAUUACAUUUAUUAAAAUGUAUUCAUUCCUUUCUUUUCUUCUUUUCUUUGCCUUCCUUUUCUUUUCUAUUUUUUUUUAUGGCCACACCCAAAGCAUCUGGAAAUUCCCAAGCCAGGGAUCCAAUCCAAGCUGCAGCUGCUGUCACGUAGACCACAGCCACUGCAACGCCCGAUCCUUCACCCACGGUACAGGGCUGGGGAUCAAAGCUGUACCUCUGCAGCAACCCGAGCAGCUGCGGUCAAAUCCUUAGCCCACUAAGCCCAAGCCACAGUGGGAACUCCUAUUCCAUUAUUUUAAAGUUUAACUUUUUGGACUGGUAGAUGCUUCUUGAUACUCUCUUAGCUAAAGAUCUUGAAAGAAGGGAAGUAGUAUAUCAGGGCAAAAGACAGACCACAGCUGACACAGGAAAAUGUGGACGUGGGAGAUGCCCACUGGGGGGUCAACUGGAGAUCUCCACGUUGAUUUGCAGAUGCGUCGUCGUAACCCCAAGUAGGUGCUGAGGGCAGCUGGGUGGAAGCUUUAUUAGCCUCCUAUAAAACCUUGGUCCCCUGGCCCAAGUGGAGGCCAUCAAGGGCUGUCAAGGGCUGUCAAAAGCCCUCAAGAGCCAAGCCAGAAAGCCCAGGACAAUACACUCAGAGGCAACGUCCCAGCUGGCCUGCAAAGCCAGGUGCCUGGCCUUGACUGGUUGAUUGGUUGCCCAUAUGGCCACCGGGGGGACCCUGGAGGCUUCACGUCGGUCCAUGGGGACGCCCAGACGCAGGGCGUCCCCCCCAUGCACCCCCAGGUGUCAGCAAGGAAGGAUCACAGAGGCAGAACGGCCACUCCAGGACUCAGAUUUCCUUCCGCACGUGGCAGGGAUUCAGGCUCCGUGGCCACGGCUGUCCGCCACAGAAGCCAGCCAGAGAAAUCAUGCAGGGGACAGACAGAUGGGCGGGGAGAAAAGGAAACCACGCAAUUCCUUUGGCAAAGCGGGGGGCCCGGGCCGAAGAGUGAUGAAGACCCGGGAGGGACAGUUUUCAGGCUCGCAAAUGGUGGACGGUGGCUGCAAUGAAUGGAAUUCUCAUUAGUCUCCACGGCAAAGAGACCUCGCUGCGGUCUCCGCGCCCACGAAACAAACCAGGUGGCCAGGAUAAACAAAGCCGGAGGGGCCCGUCCAGGCUUGGCGAAGGGCUUUCCCACUCAGGGUGGAGCACAGGAAAGCUGGCACCUCUACCAAAAGCUCACCAAAGCCCCACCCACAUGCCUACAGCAGAAAUCGCACAACAGGCCAAAGUGCCAGACACACACUGGCUGGAUGGGAAACGGGAUGAAUUAUGCUCCUAGGCAGUUGGGACUCUGUGGGAUUUUUAUGUUAUUUUUCGGCGCCUGUAUCCAUGGGAACAUGAAGAAAGGGUCAGGCAGAACCACUACUACGGCCAGACGUUUGAGAAAAUCCCCCAUGACCGUUUUCUUAUCUCACGACGGGAGGAAAACGAUAUAUACUAACGGAAGCCACAGAUACCGGGGAGGAUGCAAACAGGAUCGUGCAACAGGAGUCCCCUGGUGACCUGGAGGUUAGGGAUCUGGUGUCGUCACUGCUGAGGCUUGGGUUGCUGCUGUGGCAUAGGUUCAGUGCUUCGCCCAGGAACUUUCACAGGAUGCAGGUGUGGCCGAAAAAAAAAAUUUUUUUUUAAAUAGUCAUACAGGGGAGUUCCCUUUGUGGCUCAGCAGUUAAUGAUUCUGACUACAAUCCAUGAGGAUGAAGGUUUGAUCCCUGACCUCACUCAGUGGGUUAGAGAUCCGGCGUUGCUGUGAGGUGUGGUGUCGGUUGCAGACGUGGCUCAGAUCUGGUGUUGCUGUGUCUGUGCUGUAGGCCAGCAGCUGCAGCUCUGAUUGGAAACCUUAGCCUGGGAUCUUCCCUACGCUGUAGGUGCGGC
Molecule: long non-coding RNA, 3087 nt
Filed under: Sus scrofa (pig)
Lineage: Eukaryota; Metazoa; Chordata; Mammalia; Artiodactyla; Suidae
Description: lncRNA (ENSSSCG00000051961.1)
Source: RNAcentral